UGAUUUUUUUUUUUUUUGGAAGCGUCUUGGUUGUUCCUUCUCAUGGGUUUUGCCUCUCCCCUCACCUUGCUACCUCUGAAGGUGUCCCCCCAAAAGAUUGUAAAACUGAAUGCUUAGACCGCUUGAGGUGGUUUCAGUUGCCUAAACCCUUGCUUUCCUCUGCAAAACUCUGUGGGCCUGGGAUGUUUAGAACGCUUCUGCAUCACAGUGACCCUCAGAAGCCCAUUAGCACAAGAUGGUUUGGGGCAGAGACUUCACAGUCAGAGAAAAGACUUAGGCCUGGGAGUGUCCAUUCAGUGUUUGCAGGAAUGGACCUAGUUCUAAAGAAACCAGAUUAUGGGGGGAGGGGUAGUCUGUCAUUGAUAAGCACACCAUCAAGCAUCUUUCUAAUACUUAACCUUCUCCUACCCUUAACAUCAUAAACACCAACUCUCUUCCCUGGGUACAUGUGCUACCUGUGAGACUGGGGGAGAGUUGGGGAGAAACCCCUUUCAGGGAGGUUCUCCAGGAAGUUGCUACCAGAGUAAUCUCUAUAGGUGGCAUACACAGGGAGUUGGGGGAAAAUCAUUUGGCCCCAGGUAGUCGGCCUCUGCUUCAAGCUUUUUGUAUCCCAUUUCUUUCCAGCUCCCAUGUUUAGAGGCAGGUGGCUCUGUUAGAGUAGCCUGGAUAUAGUCAAGGAUUGGUGAGACGACCCCUACCCCCACUCCAAGAUGCAAUUAAUGCUUUGCACUUGGUGGGUAUAUAUUUGUGGUUCAAAUACGAGUGGUGGAGAGCAGGUUAGUCUUAGUACAAAGGCUGACUUCUCUUGUGGCUCCUCCCCUUUGCCUAUACUCCUGGCCUGCAUGGGCCUCCCAACUGGCUCCAACUUGUCCUUCAGUCCUAACAUCCGUGAACUGCACCAGUACCAACAGCUCAACCACGAAAGAGUCAAGGCCAUGGACAGCCAAUACAUUCCCGUUAGCUUCAUGACCACAAGGUUAAGGUUCCCCCAACAAGCAUUCUGCCUGAUGUCUUCUUUAUCUAGACAAUACAGAUCCAGUUGUCUGUGUAACUUGUUAUUCUGAGCAGAUCUACCCAUGCAGUUGUCCGCCCCCCCCCCCACCUUUGAACCAGUCAGGAAAAAAAAAAAA
Molecule: long non-coding RNA, 1130 nt
Filed under: Rattus norvegicus (Norway rat)
Lineage: Eukaryota; Metazoa; Chordata; Mammalia; Rodentia; Muridae
Description: long non-coding RNA NONRATT030598
Source: RNAcentral